UAUUUUUAAGUAUCGCCUGCUCAAUGAAAUUUAAAUAGCCGCAGAAAUUUAACUGUGCUAAGGUAGCAUAAUCAUUAGCUCUUUAAUUAAGGGCUUGUAUGAAAGGCAACACAUUUUAUACCCUAUAAUCACUUUAAUUCAUUUAACUUAAAUUAAGAAUAAAAAUGUUCUUAUUCUAAAAAUAGACGAUAAGACCCUAUCGAACUUUACUUUAGUUUAACUGGGGCAGUUAAAUAAGUAAUAUUUUAUUUUCCUUUUUUAUAUAAAAACCCAAUUCCUUUGAAUAUAAAUAAGUUACCAUAGGGAUAACAGCGUAAUUUACUUUUAAAGCUCUUAUUUAAAAAUAAGAUUGCGACCUCGAUGUUGAAUUAAUGUCUCUCUUUAUAAAGCAACAAUUUUUAGAGUAGGUCUGUUCGACCUUUAAAACAUUACA
Molecule: ribosomal RNA, 433 nt
Filed under: Thelacantha brevispina
Lineage: Eukaryota; Metazoa; Arthropoda; Arachnida; Araneae; Araneidae
Description: partial 16S ribosomal RNA
Rfam family: Bacterial large subunit ribosomal RNA
Source: RNAcentral